Molecule: long non-coding RNA, 4520 nt
Filed under: Sus scrofa (pig)
Lineage: Eukaryota; Metazoa; Chordata; Mammalia; Artiodactyla; Suidae
Description: lncRNA (ENSSSCG00035025250.1)
Source: RNAcentral
CUGAAGGUAAACUUGGCAGUCUUUAUUACAGUUUCACUACUAUCCAUAUGAGUUUACUUGGUGGCAUUAUCCGACACAAUUAUUAAAGACAAAUAAAUAAAAACAUAGCAAGUGGAAAAGUAUAGCAAAAUUAUCACAGAUGUUAUUGUGUCCUGGGGGGCUGGUCAAAUGAAAAAAAAAAAAAACUACAAAAUGUAAGUGAAUUCAGAUAGAAGGCUGGGUACAUAAUGUAUAAAAUCAGCAGCUUUUUUAUUUACACAUGACAAACAGAAAUAAAAUAAGACACUUACUCCUUAAAUGCAAACUGUAUAAGAAACUUUUAAAAAUCUACACACCAAAGAAGGACUUAUAAAGGCGUUCCUGUUGUGGCUCAGUGGUCAUGAGCCCAACUUGUAUCCACAAGGAUGUGGGUUCGAUCCCUGGCCCUGCUCAGGGCUAAGGAUCCGGCGCUGCUGUGAGCGGUGGCGUAGGUCGCAGACACAGCUCAGAUCCCACGUUGCUGCGGCUGUGGUGGAGGCUGGCAGUCGUAGCUCCAAUUUGACCCUUAGCCUGGGAACGUCCACAUGCCACGGGUACGGCCCUAAACAAGCAGAAGAAGAAGAAGAAGAAGCAGCAGAAGCGGACGAAGCAGCACUUCCAAAAUAACAGCUGGAAAUUGGCCAGAUGUCCAUUAAUAGUAGAAAAGCAAAACUCUUUGGGGUUUACUCGGUAGAAUACUAAGUGGCAAAGAGAAUCUUACAAACACGAUGUCCCGUACGCACCGUGAGUCCUAUAGGAAAAGCACAGACACCCAAAGAACAGACCCGUCUAGGCCCCAAGGGCCAGGAUGGGCUUCUUCGGGAGGAAGUGGCUGGAAGGGAGACGGCAAGGCAGCCCCUGGGGUCUGGAAACGCUCUGUCUCCACAUCUCGGUGCUGGCUACACGUGUGCUCAGGUUGUGAAAACGCAUCAGGCUGUCUCUGUGCAUUUUCCUCCCGAACACACAUUUCAGGAAAAGUCUUGAGCACGUUGCGGCUCAGCAGUCGCGAACCCGACUGGGAUCCAUGAGGACUCGGGUUCGAUCCCUGGUCUCUCUGAGUGGGUUAGGGAUCUGGCAUGACCAUGAGCUGCGGUGUAGGUUGCAGAUGUGGCUCAGAUCCCGCAUGGCUGUGGCUGUGGUGUAGGCCGGCAGCACAGCUCUGAUUCAACCCCUGACCUGGGAACUUCCAUAUGCCACACCCUGAAAAGCAAAAACAAACAAAAAAAAUCGAUGUGAAAAGGAGUUCCCACUGUGGUACGGCAGGUUAAGGAUCCACCAUUGUGUCUGUGGCAGUGAGGGUUCAAUGCCCAGCUUGGUGUGAUGGGUUGAUGAUCUGACAUAGGUCACAGCUGUGGCUCAGAUCUGAUCCCUGGCCCGGAACUUCCAUAUGCCACAGGUACGGUCAUUUAAAAAAAAAAAAAAAACCAAGUGAAGAAAAUUGUAAUUGCUGAGAAACAUAAAAGGAGUCAUGAAUAAAAGAAUAAAUAAUUCUUAUUUUAACAGGAAAUUUUAAUACUAUAACCAAGUCAUUCUCCCUAAAUUAAUCUAUAUAUUUGAUCUGAACAAAUAUACCAAGAAGAUAUUUUAAGUAGCUAUGCUGAUUGUAAUAUUUAUACAGAAAAAAGAGAUGCAUAAAAAUAGCCAAGAAAAUGUUUAAAAGAAAGGGGACUAGAUAGCAAACCAAUUAUAAAGUUAUGAUCACUCUAACAACUAACAUAGCAGGUGAAAACCCAACAGAUAAAAGAGUAGAGCCCCCAGAAAGAGAACUAAACACAUAAAAGACAGCACUUAAAUUUGCUUAAAAAUGUAUUAUUCCAUAAAAGGUAUUAAAACAAUUAUGUAAGAUCUAGGAAAAUGAAAAUCGUAUCUCUACUUCACCUCCUACUCUAAAAAUAAAUUCCAUACCGAAUAAAGACAUAAGCAAAACAUAAAGACACAAAAUGACUAAAAGAAAACAGAAACGUUAAACAAUAUUGGGGCAGAACAGUUCUUUCCAAGCAGGACACAAAAUUCAACAGCUGAAGUUCUCUGGUGGCCUAGUGGUUAAGGAUCCAGCACUGUCACUGCCGUGGUGCAGGUCACUGCUAUGGCACAGGUGCGAUCCCCAGCCCGGGAGCUUCCACAUGCCAUGGGCAUGGCCAGAACAAAAAUUCAGCAGCCCACAAAAAGAAAAGAUUGAUAAAUUCAGUAUUAAAGAAAAGAAGCAUGUAAAAGGAAAAAAUCUGCAGGGCAAAAAAAUUCAAUAACAACGUCAACUGAUAAUUAAGAAAGAACAUAGUUCCACGUGAGGGACGGCCACCUGUCCGGCCUGACACGGCGCUCUGACAGACAGACUGUCUUGUUUGGAAGCCACAGAAAAUGACACAACACUUGAACAUUAGAGCUGAAGUUCCAGAGGCAGGUGCCAGCGGGCUAAAAUGACAGGCUCCUGAGAAGAGGCAGAGACAAAAUGCUCAGGGAGUCUGAGGUGACUACGGGCAACUCUGCAGAAAAAGUCACACCUGCCAGGAGGGCCAUCAUGAGAAAGACAACAAAGAACCGGUGUUGGUGAGGAUGUGGAGGAAAGGGGGCCUCCUGCACUCUUGGUGGGACUGUACACUGGUGCAGCCACUGUGAAAAGCAGUACGACGGUUCCUUAAGAAAUUAAAAAUAAAACUGCCAUGUGAUCCAGCAAUUUCACUUCUGGGUUAUCACCCAAAGGAAACAAAAUGCGGUGCAAAGAGACGUAUGCCCACCAAGGUUCCCGCAGUAUUACUUACAAUAGCCAAGGUGUGAAACCUAAGUGCUCAUCAAAAGACAGCUGGGUAAGGCGAUCUGAGACGCACACAUACACACGCCAGCCGGGAAAAACGAAAGUCUUGCCUUUUCGUGACAGCAUUGCUGGAUCUAGAGGGUAUAUCAUGCUUAGUGAAAUAAUCGGACAAAGACAACUACUACAUGGUCUCAUUUAUAUGUGGAAUCUAAAAAAUAAAACAAACAAAAGAAAAUAAAAGCAGACUCGCUGGUACAAAGAAGAAAUGGGUGGUUGCUAAGAGGGUGGGGGUGUGAUGUGAAACAGGCGAGGGGGGGUCCUCGGUGCAAAUCUCCAACUGUGAGAUAAACAAGCACAGGAUGUGAUACACGACAGAAGGAACAUGGUCAAUAAAACCGUAAUAACUUCCUGUGGGGACAGAUGGCUACGGCACUUGCCGCGGUGAUCAUUUCGUCAUGUGGGCAAGGGUCACAGCACCAUGUCAUACACCCGAAACUGACAUAACAUUGUACACCAUUACAACAAAAACAAUAAGACGAAAAAUUUCACCAACAUAAGAGCUCCUAAAUAUACAACACAAACUUUGACAUAACUAAAAGGACAAAGAGCAAUAAAACAGUAGCAGGAAACAUGGAUACCCCACCGUCAGUGACAGACUGAACAAGACAGAAGACAUGAAAGGAAGCAGAGGACUCCAGCAACACAGUCUAACAACCAGGUCUGUCAGACAGAGACAGAACACUCUGCCCCCAAACAAGAGAGCGCAAAUUCUUCUCAAGUGCACAUGCAAGUGUCUGGAAUAGACCACAUGAUAGCCCACAAGACAAACCUCAACAGCUCUAAAACAACAGAUAUCAUAUGAAGUAUCUUCUCCAACCACAACAAGAUGAAAUUAAAAACCAAAAACAGAAGGAAAAUUGGAAAAUCCAUAAAUUUGUGGACAGGAAACACACUCUUUGUUUUGUUUUUCUUUUCAGGGCCACACUGUGGCACAUGGAAGUUCCUGGGCUAGGGGUCAAAGCGGAGCUGCAUCUGUGACCUACGUCACAGCUUGUGACAAGGCCAGCAUGAGACCCGGGACUGAACCUGCAUCCUCAUGAAUAUUAGUCAGACUCUUAACCUGCUGAGCCACAACAGGAACUCCCAAAUUAACAUACUCUCAGACAACCAAUGUGUAAAGAAAUCACAGGAGAAAUUAGAAAAUACCUAGAGACAAAUAAAAAUGUGCACACAGCAUACUAAAACACAUCAGAUGCAGUGAAAGCAGUUCUAAAGGGGGGUUUUUAGCUCUAAACUCAUACAAAGGAAAAAACAAUCUCAAAUUAACAAACCGACUUUACACUUCAAGGAACCACCAAAAGAAGAAUGAAUGAACUAAACCAAAAGCUAGCAGAAGGAGGGGCAUCAUAAAUUUAGAAUAGAAAUUAAUAAAACAGAGCAUAGAAAACCAAUAGAAAAACUGACAAACUUCUGGCUGGAUUACCUAAAAAAGAAGACAGAAGGCUCAAAUAACUACAAUCAGAAAUGAAAAGGGGAGUUCCCGUCGUGGCGCAGUGGUUAACGAAUCUGACUAAGAACCAUGAGGUUGCGGGUUCAGUCCCUGCCCUUGCUCAGUGGGUUAAGGAUCCGGCGUUGCCGUGAGCUGUGGUGUAGGUUGCAGACGCGGCUCGAAUCCUGCGUGGCUGUGGCUCUGGUGUAGGCCGGCGGCUACAGCUCCGAUUCGACCCCUAGCCUGGGAACCUCCAUAUGC